UACGUAGGGUGCAAGCGUUAAUCGGAAUUACUGGGCGUAAAGCGUGCGCAGGCGGUUAUGUAAGACAGUUGGGAAAUCCCCGGGCUCAACCUGGGAACUGCAUCUGUGACUGCAUAGCUAGAGUACGGUAGAGGGGGAUGGAAUUCCGCGUGUAGCAGUGAAAUGCGUAGAUAUGCGGAGGAACACCGAUGGCGAAGGCAAUCCCCUGGACCUGUACUGACGCUCAUGCACGAAAGCGUGGGGAGCAAACAGG
RNAcentral lists this ribosomal RNA (253 nucleotides) under uncultured bacterium. RNAcentral's name for it is "partial 16S ribosomal RNA". It matches the Rfam family "Bacterial small subunit ribosomal RNA", at positions 524 to 776 of the family's 1533-position model. The record is from RNAcentral.